RNAcentral lists this long non-coding RNA (776 nucleotides) under Vulpes vulpes (red fox). RNAcentral's name for it is "lncRNA (ENSVVUG00000017192.1)". The record is from RNAcentral. Lineage: Eukaryota; Metazoa; Chordata; Mammalia; Carnivora; Canidae.
GCUCAGUGCACACCUGAAGAGACCAUGAGUGUGCCAUUUAGUAGACACCAUGUUACAGGAAGAGGAAUGAUCAGAGGAACACCAGCAGGAAAGACCUUGGUAUCGAGGCUGUAAUCUCCUAUUGGGGAGCUCCAUAGCUCUUUAUGAUCCUGCUAUGGGGGGUGAAGCCUAAAAAAUUGAGCUGGGGAUAUACUUUCUUGACAGAAGCCCUGAGAGGGACUAAUUCCUCCCAAGAGUAAUGGUUUUUGCACAUUCGUGGUUGGCGGUAAUUGGUAUUCACAGUGUCAGGAUUUGCAUGAAUGGGCUGGACAAUAAACAGCCGUAUUUUGAUUGAAGUAGUAAUUACUGUUUCUUCAUUAAUUCAUCAACCACAUGCGUCUUUGAAGUGUCCCUUGUGAUGCCAUCUCAUGUCACUCUCAGUGGGGAAGAAAAUCUUGAUUGAUCUGUUUCACUCUCUCACAGUUAAUCAAUAGAAUCAACUUUAAUGUAAGCUACUAACUUUUUUUAAAAAAGAUUUUAUUUGUUUAUUCAUGACAGAGAGAGAGAGAGAUUGAGAGGCAGAGACACAGGCAGAGGGAGAAGCGGGCUCCAUGCGGGGAGCCCGAUGUGGGACUCCAGGACCACACCCUGGGCUGAAGGCGACGCUAAACCACUGGGCCACCGGGGGCUGCCCAGCUACUAACCUUUAUACAAAGAAGUGUGGUCCAAGUAUAUCAGCAAGCUCAUCAAGCAGGGGACCUCAGGCAGUUACGCACAAACUGUGUUUUCCCGUUUGA